RNAcentral lists this ribosomal RNA (474 nucleotides) under uncultured bacterium. Its description in RNAcentral is "bacterial SSU rRNA". It matches the Rfam family "Bacterial small subunit ribosomal RNA", at positions 9 to 482 of the family's 1533-position model. The record is from RNAcentral.
GAGUUUGAACCUGGCUCAGGAUGAACGCUGGCGGUGCGCCUAACACAUGCAAGUCGAACGAAGGAUUGUGAAGGAACUUUACGGAGGGAAAACACAAUGACUGAGUGGCGGACGGGUGAGUAACGCGUAGGGAACCUGGCCCUUACAGGGGGAUAACAGAUGGAAACAACUGCUAAUACCGCAUAAGCGCCCAGCCUCGCAUGAGGCAGAGUGAAAAACUAAGGUGGUAAGGGAUGGCCCUGCGUCCGAUUAGCUAGUUGGUAUGGUAACGGCAUACCAAGGCGACGAUCGGUAGCCGGCCUGAGAGGGUGGACGGCCACAUUGGGACUGAGACACGGCCCAAACUCCUACGGGAGGCAGCAGUGGGGGAUAUUGCACAAUGGGGGAAACCCUGAUGCAGCGACACCGCGUGGGUGAAGAAGCGCUUCGGCGUGUAAAGCCCUAUCAGUGGGGAAGAAAAAGGACGGUACCCAA